GAUGAACGCUGGCGGCGUGCCUAAUACAUGCAAGUCGAGCGAACAGACGAGGAGCUUGCUCCUCUGACGUUAGCGGCGGACGGGUGAGUAACACGUGGAUAACCUACCUAUAAGACUGGGAUAACUUCGGGAAACCGGAGCUAAUACAGGAUAAGAUAUUGAACCGCAUGGUUCAAUAGUGAAAGACGGUUUUGCUGUCACUUAUAGAUGGAUCCGCGCCGCAUUAGCUAGUUGGUAAGGUAACGGCUUACCAAGGCAACGAUGCGUAGCCGACCUGAGAGGGUGAUCGGCCACACUGGAACUGAGACACGGUCCAGACUCCUACGGGAGGCAGCAGUAGGGAAUCUUCCGCAAUGGGCGAAAGCCUGACGGAGCAACGCCGCGUGAGUGAUGAAGGUCUUCGGAUCGUAAAACUCUGUUAUUAGGGAAGAACAAAUGUGUAAGUAACUAUGCACGUCUUGACGGUACCUAAUCAGAAAGCCACGGCUAACUACGUG
RNAcentral lists this ribosomal RNA (497 nucleotides) under uncultured bacterium. RNAcentral's name for it is "partial 16S ribosomal RNA". It matches the Rfam family "Bacterial small subunit ribosomal RNA", at positions 28 to 507 of the family's 1533-position model. The record is from RNAcentral.